CCUACGGGUGGCAGCAGUGGGGAAUAUUGGGCAAUGGCCGCAAGUCUGACCCAGCAACGCCGCGUGAGGGAAGAAGGCUUUCGGGAUGUAAACUUCUUUUAAGGGGGAAGAGAAGAAGACGGUACCCCUUGAAUAAGCCACGGCUAACUACGUGCCAGCAGCCGCGGUAAUACGUAGGUGGCAAGCGUUGUCCGGAUUUACUGGGUGUAAAGGGCGUGGAGGCGGAGAGACAAGUCAGAGGUUAAAUCCACGGGCUCAACCCGUGACGUGCGUUUGAAACUGGUUCCCUUGAGUGUCGGAGAGGUAAGCGGAAUUCCUAGUGUAGCGGUGAAAUGCGUAGAUAUUAGGAAGAACACCAGUGGCGAAGGCGGAUUACUGGACGAUAACUGACGGUGAGGCGCGAAAGCGUGGGGAGCAAACAGGAUUAGAUACCCCAGUAGUC
RNAcentral lists this ribosomal RNA (442 nucleotides) under uncultured bacterium. RNAcentral's name for it is "partial 16S ribosomal RNA". It matches the Rfam family "Bacterial small subunit ribosomal RNA", at positions 338 to 795 of the family's 1533-position model. The record is from RNAcentral.